GGGGAUAACACUUAGAAAUAGGUGCUAAGACCGCAUAAGCGCCCAGGGCCGCAUGGCCCAGGGUGAAAAACUCCGGUGGUAUAAGAUGGGCCCGCGUCUGAUUAGCCAGUUGGCAGGGUAACGGCCUACCAAAGCGACGAUCAGUAGCCGGCCUGAGAGGGUGGACGGCCACAUUGGGACUGAGACACGGCCCAAACUCCUACGGGAGGCAGCAGUGGGGGAUAUUGCACAAUGGGGGAAACCCUGAUGCAGCGACGCCGCGUGAGUGGAGAAGUAUUUCGGUAUGUAAAGCUCUAUCAGCAGGGAAGAAAGAAGACGGUACCUGAGUAAGAAGCCCCGGCUAACUACGUGCCAGCAGCCGCGGUAAUACGUAGGGGGCAAGCGUUAUCCGGAUUUACUGGGUGUAAAGGGAGCGUAGACGGCAAGGCAAGCCUGGAGUGAAAGGCGGGGGCCCAACCCCCGGACUGCUCUGGGAACUGUCUGGCUAGAGUGCAGGAGGGGUAAGUGGAAUUCCUAGUGUAGCGGUGAAAUGCGUAGAUAUUAGGAGGAACACCAGUGGCGAAGGCGGCUUACUGGACUGUAACUGACGUUGAGGCUCGAAAGCGUGGGGAGCAAACAGGAUUAGAUACCCUGGUAGUCCACGCCGUAAACGAUGAU
This 657-nucleotide ribosomal RNA is filed under the name uncultured bacterium. RNAcentral describes it as "bacterial SSU rRNA". It matches the Rfam family "Bacterial small subunit ribosomal RNA", at positions 139 to 813 of the family's 1533-position model. The record is from RNAcentral.